GGUUAAGCGACUAAGCGUACACGGUGGAUGCCCUGGCAGUCAGAGGCGAUGAAGGGCGUGCUAAUCUGCGAUAAGCGCCGGUAAGGUGAUAUGAACCGUUAUAACCGGCGAUACCCGAAUGGGGAAACCCAGUGUGACUCGUCACACUAUCAUUAACUGAAUCCAUAGGUUAAUGAGGCGAACCGGGGGAACUGAAACAUCUAAGUACCCCGAGGAAAAGAAAUCAACCGAGAUUCCCCCAGUAGCGGCGAGCGAACGGGGAGGAGCCCAGAGCCUGAAUCAGCAUGUGUGUUAGUGGAAGCGUCUGGAAAGGCGCGCGAUACAGGGUGACAGCCCCGUACACAAAAGCGCAUGUGCUGUGAGCUCGAUGAGUAGGGCGGGACACGUGGUAUCCUGUCUGAAUAUGGGGGGACCAUCCUCCAAGGCUAAAUACUCCUGACUGACCGAUAGUGAACCAGUACCGUGAGGGAAAGGCGAAAAGAACCCCGGCGAGGGGAGUGAAAAAGAACCUGAAACCGUGUACGUACAAGCAGUGGGAGCACAGGUUUACCUGUGUGACUGCGUACCUUUUGUAUAAUGGGUCAGCGACUUAUAUUCUGUAGCAAGGUUAACCGAAUAGGGGAGCCGCAGGGAAACCGAGUCUUAAUUGGGCGUUAAGUUGCAGGGUAUAGACCCGAAACCCGGUGAUCUAGCCAUGGGCAGGUUGAAGGUUGGGUAACACUAACUGGAGGACCGAACCGACUAAUGUUGAAAAAUUAGCGGAUGACCUGUGGCUGGGGGUGAAAGGCCAAUCAAACCGGGAGAUAGCUGGUUCUCCCCGAAAGCUAUUUAGGUAGCGCCUCGUGAAUUCAUCUCCGGGGGUAGAGCACUGUUUCGGCUAGGGGGCCAUCCCGGCUUACCAACCCGAUGCAAACUGCGAAUACCGGAGAAUGUUAUCACGGGAGACACACGGCGGGUGCUAACGUCCGUCGUGAAGAGGGAAACAACCCAGACCGCCAGCUAAGGUCCCAAAGUCAUGGUUAAGUGGGAAACGAUGUGGGAAGGCCCAGACAGCCAGGAUGUUGGCUUAGAAGCAGCCAUCAUUUAAAGAAAGCGUAAUAGCUCACUGGUCGAGUCGGCCUGCGCGGAAGAUGUAACGGGGCUAAACCAUGCACCGAAGCUGCGGCAGCGACGCUUAUGCGUUGUUGGGUAGGGGAGCGUUCUGUAAGCCUGCGAAGGUGGCCUGUGAGGGUUGCUGGAGGUAUCAGAAGUGCGAAUGCUGACAUAAGUAACGAUAAAGCGGGUGAAAAGCCCGCUCGCCGGAAGACCAAGGGUUCCUGUCCAACGUUAAUCGGGGCAGGGUGAGUCGACCCCUAAGGCGAGGCCGAAAGGCGUAGUCGAUGGGAAACGGGUUAAUAUUCCCGUACUUGGUGUUACUGCGAAGGGGGGACGGAGAAGGCUAUGUUGGCCGGGCGACGGUUGUCCCGGUUUAAGCGUGUAGGUGUGUGUUCCAGGUAAAUCCGGUUCACUUUAACACUGAGGCGUGAUGACGAGGCACUACGGUGCUGAAGCAACAAAUGCCCUGCUUCCAGGAAAAGCCUCUAAGCAUCAGGUAACAUCAAAUCGUACCCCAAACCGACACAGGUGGUCAGGUAGAGAAUACCAAGGCGCUUGAGAGAACUCGGGUGAAGGAACUAGGCAAAAUGGUGCCGUAACUUCGGGAGAAGGCACGCUGACACGUAGGUGAAGUGAUUUACUCACGGAGCUGAAGUCAGUCGAAGAUACCAGCUGGCUGCAACUGUUUAUUAAAAACACAGCACUGUGCAAACACGAAAGUGGACGUAUACGGUGUGACGCCUGCCCGGUGCCGGAAGGUUAAUUGAUGGGGUCAGCGCAAGCGAAGCUCCUGAUCGAAGCCCCGGUAAACGGCGGCCGUAACUAUAACGGUCCUAAGGUAGCGAAAUUCCUUGUCGGGUAAGUUCCGACCUGCACGAAUGGCGUAAUGAUGGCCAGGCUGUCUCCACCCGAGACUCAGUGAAAUUGAACUCGCUGUGAAGAUGCAGUGUACCCGCGGCAAGACGGAAAGACCCCGUGAACCUUUACUAUAGCUUGACACUGAACAUUGAGCCUUGAUGUGUAGGAUAGGUGGGAGGCUUUGAAGUGUGGACGCCAGUCUGCAUGGAGCCGACCUUGAAAUACCACCCUUUAAUGUUUGAUGUUCUAACGUGGACCCGUAAUCCGGGUUGCGGACAGUGUCUGGUGGGUAGUUUGACUGGGGCGGUCUCCUCCUAAAGAGUAACGGAGGAGCACGAAGGUUGGCUAAUCCUGGUCGGACAUCAGGAGGUUAGUGCAAUGGCAUAAGCCAGCUUGACUGCGAGCGUGACGGCGCGAGCAGGUGCGAAAGCAGGUCAUAGUGAUCCGGUGGUUCUGAAUGGAAGGGCCAUCGCUCAACGGAUAAAAGGUACUCCGGGGAUAACAGGCUGAUACCGCCCAAGAGUUCAUAUCGACGGCGGUGUUUGGCACCUCGAUGUCGGCUCAUCACAUCCUGGGGCUGAAGUAGGUCCCAAGGGUAUGGCUGUUCGCCAUUUAAAGUGGUACGCGAGCUGGGUUUAGAACGUCGUGAGACAGUUCGGUCCCUAUCUGCCGUGGGCGCUGGAGAACUGAGGGGGGCUGCUCCUAGUACGAGAGGACCGGAGUGGACGCAUCACUGGUGUUCGGGUUGUCAUGCCAAUGGCACUGCCCGGUAGCUAAAUGCGGAAGAGAUAAGUGCUGAAAGCAUCUAAGCACGAAACUUGCCCCGAGAUGAGUUCUCCCUGAGACUUAGAGUCUCCUGAAGGAACGUUGAAGACGACGACGUUGAUAGGCCGGGUGUGUAAGCGCAGCGAUGCGUUGAGCUAACCGGUACUAAUGAACCGUGAGGCUUAACCUU
RNAcentral lists this ribosomal RNA (2908 nucleotides) under Salmonella enterica subsp. enterica. RNAcentral describes it as "23S ribosomal RNA". It matches the Rfam family "Bacterial large subunit ribosomal RNA". The record is from RNAcentral. Lineage: Bacteria; Pseudomonadati; Pseudomonadota; Gammaproteobacteria; Enterobacterales; Enterobacteriaceae.